AGGAUUAUAGUUUAUAAAAAUAUUUGAUUUGCACUCAAAAGAUAUUGAUUUCAAUUUAUCUUA
Molecule: transfer RNA, 63 nt
Filed under: Cethosia biblis
Lineage: Eukaryota; Metazoa; Arthropoda; Insecta; Lepidoptera; Nymphalidae
Description: tRNA-Ala
Rfam family: tRNA
About the family: Transfer RNA (tRNA) molecules are approximately 80 nucleotides in length.
Source: RNAcentral